RNAcentral lists this long non-coding RNA (1298 nucleotides) under Mytilus galloprovincialis (Mediterranean mussel). The record is from RNAcentral. Lineage: Eukaryota; Metazoa; Mollusca; Bivalvia; Mytilida; Mytilidae.
CUACCACUACAACGUCAUCUGGAUGUACAAGCGAGGGUAUACAGGGGACAUCGUACGCAGCACCUAUAGUUACUGGUAUAGUUGCUCUAACACUGGAGGCAAAGUAAGUUCUUUAAGAUUAAACAGAACUAUUAAUAGCUGUUGCCGGGUUUUUUUGUGGUCACUCUGUACCACUGUUUUCUUCCAUCCAGACAAAGUGUCCAAUUAUUCUUCAUCCAUUUUUGGCAUGACUCUAUACAUGUAUACUAAAUAAUGUUCAUCAACAGUCUGCGAUAUAUUAUUUUUAUUGUUCAAAAAUACAUUUAUUUAAGAAUUGAAUGCUUCUUUUUGUAACUUCAUUGGGGUGUAAAAGCGUUGACCGAAGUACAUUUUGUAUAAGGCGAAGGCUCAUCUAAAAUGGCGCACGUCAAGCUACAACCUAUAAGUUAAAAAGAAGCAUUCAAUACUUAUAAUUACAUUUUUUAGUUAGGAUCAUGAAAAAACGAUUUUUAUCAAGGUUUUAUUUAAUACACCUGUGCACUUUAUUGUGCGACCUCGUGUCAUCAUGAAUGAUAAAUUUCAUUGUGUUAUGAAGUUGAUUAAGGAAUAACGCGAGAUUUGCAGUUAGCCAAUUAGAAUAACGUAUUAUAAUGAAACAUACAUCUAAAUAAAUGUAAUUAUUAUUGUUCAAUCAUUGCGUCUGGUUUUGUUACGCCUCAUAACACAGUGACCGUAUAAUCUUAUACAGUUAUGGCCCGUUGAAAAGGUGAAUAUCCAAAAUUGUCAACACGAGAAGGUUAUUUCACUGAGGGCGCAGCGGAAGUUGACAAAUCUAUUGAUGUUUACAAACAUAUAGGUUUUAAGCUUUAGAAAUAAAGUAUAAUAAUUUAUGGCAUGUCACUUUUAAUUAGAACGAAAAUUGGGGCCCGUUCUCUAAUACUUAUCGUACCUUGUCCUUUGCUUCAAUUAACUUUAAAAUGAAAUAGACAGAAAUAGUAAAAAAAUUUCAACUUAAUUUAUUGUCUUUGUUAAUUUCAAUAAUCUUUAAUGUGCAUUGUUGAUAGUUUUAUAAUAUAUUUUCGGUAAUAUAGGUCAUUUCUAAUUUAGAACUUACCAACGGAUAUUGUAACAGUGCAUUUUAUUUACAGUAUUUUUCAAUUGAUUUAUAUAAUUAUUGUGUUACUAUUCAAAUUUACUCCUAAUUUGCAGUCCCGAUUUGACUUGGAGAGACAUCCAGCAUCUUAUUGCAUUCACAUCAACCAGAAAUGGUUUGAAUGACACCUACUCUGAUUGGUCAAUGAACGGGGCAAAUAAAGAAU